RNAcentral lists this transfer RNA (67 nucleotides) under marine eukaryotic metagenome. It matches the Rfam family "tRNA", at positions 5 to 66 of the family's 71-position model. Rfam says of the family: Transfer RNA (tRNA) molecules are approximately 80 nucleotides in length. The record is from RNAcentral.
CCGUAGCUCAGUGGAUAGAGCAGCCGCCUUCUAAGCGGUAGGCCGAGGGUUCGAAUCCUUCCGGGUG